This 21-nucleotide non-coding RNA is filed under the name Arabidopsis thaliana (thale cress). The record is from RNAcentral. Lineage: Eukaryota; Viridiplantae; Streptophyta; Magnoliopsida; Brassicales; Brassicaceae.
UGGCGGUUGACGGCAACGUUA